AAAGUGCCGCCUGAUCCAACAGGAGUGGAAUACAGGGCAGAAAUAUGAGCCACUGGUCUAGUGUGAAAUUUUCUAGUAACCACAUUUUAAAAGUGAAUAAAGAGAUGGAAUUAAUUUCAUAACAUAUUUCAACCCAAUAUAUCCAAUAUACUAUCAUUUCGACAGGUAAUCAAUACCCAAGAUUGUGAGAUACUGCAUUUUCAAUAUUUUGCCCAUUUGGUCUUUGAAACAUCUCAGCUGUGACAUGGCCAGGGUCUACCACGCUGGGCAUCACAGCUCUGGAAGACACACCAUAGAAAAUGCAAACACAAAAUACUCCUCUUUUUGUCCCACUGGGGCUGCCGUGAUACAAACAUGUCUUGUAAGAGCCAGGAUAUAUUUCUGUCCCUCCUCUGUUCUGCAGCCCAGCGCCUGGGCCUGUGUGUGGUCCUUGUUAGAGACUGAGAGCAGGCAUAGUUCAGGGCAGGACGUGUUCCCCACUUCGAGGGUCAAGUGCGCCUGGGAUGUGGGUGCAGACAUCUGCCUGAGGAGCAGAGAAUCUGGCCACAGCGGCCUGGAGGAUGGCGGCUGGAACACCUGCCACCCCCACCUGCGUCUGCCCUCUGCCUGAGGCGGAAGAGAAACUCCGGGCACAAGGCCCUGUCCCAUCCUCUCGGGUACGUGUGUGAGUUCUCCAACGAGGGAUUGGGACAGGUGGCUGGAGAAAUAACAGUUGGGACAACUGAAUAACUACAUGCAAGAUGAUGGAGAUGGAUCCUUACCCAACACCAUAUAAAAAUAAGAUCACAAUAGAUCACAGGCCUAAAUGUAAGAAGUAAAACAAUAAAACUAACGAAUAAUGGAAUAGACCGGAGGUUUC
This 859-nucleotide long non-coding RNA is filed under the name Fukomys damarensis (Damara mole-rat). RNAcentral's name for it is "lncRNA (ENSFDAG00000025071.1)". The record is from RNAcentral. Lineage: Eukaryota; Metazoa; Chordata; Mammalia; Rodentia; Bathyergidae.